Hevea brasiliensis (rubber tree) is the source of this 959-nucleotide long non-coding RNA. RefSeq lists it as uncharacterized. The transcript has 2 exons. The record is from RefSeq and is a predicted model, not a curated record. Lineage: Eukaryota; Viridiplantae; Streptophyta; Magnoliopsida; Malpighiales; Euphorbiaceae.
UACAGUGUUUCUUAAACAGGAAAAAUUGGAGAAAAAUUCUAAGAAAAAUAUAUGAUGAAAGUAAAAUUAUUUGGAGAUAUUCUAUGGUGUUAGUUGAAUUUUUGGGUGAUCGUAGAAUAUUUUUGAGAAAUAUGGAUGUAUUUUAGUUAUAUUUUUAGCAUGUGGGCAUAUAAGAUUAAUUGAAAUUAAGAUAAUUAAAUUUUAUAUAAUUGGUUGAAGCUUGAGGAUGGAGGUUUAAAUAUGUGAAUAUUUAAUUGGGUUGAAUUAGGAAUAUGUUAGCUGUUGAAAACUUAUGGAAUCGAGUAAAAUUCUUGAAUAAAAUAUUCAUGGGUGAUUAGAAAAUUACAAUUCAUUUUGCAAUAGCCUUAUAAUAUUAUUAAGGACCGCGGGGCAAAAUUUUAGAAUUUUUAGAGCUUGUUUGAGUGGAUUUUUGAAAAAUGUCAAUUAUAUGGACUAAAACGUAAUUUUUAAAAUUUUGAGUAUAGUCUGAUUUGGAGGGCCCAGGAGGGGCCAUGUGAUAUUAAUGAGAUGUGAUUGUGGAAAUUGAGAAUUUAGAAGUGUUAUUUGAGCCUCUUUGCAGGUUGGGUAGGUCCCAGGUAUAGGGGAAACUCUGCCGGAUUUCCGGCAUGAAUUAGGCUGUCUAUUGCCUCUUUAGAGUUUUAUUUUGAGUUAGUACUAAUAAAUUUAUAAUUUAAUUAUUAGGUGAUCGAGAUCAACUAUUUUCCUGCAUCCAGCAGCCACAAUAGUCGACGGUGUACUGCCACAGGAGGAGUUAUUUUACAGAGCAACCUGUUUUCUUCCUCGCAGGUUUAACGUCGAUUAUUUAAUUGUAUUAUUAUUCUCUAAAUUUGUAAUUUAGGACUCCGCAUGUGCUAGUAGUAGCAUUAAGCCUGUCAGGGACUGUAUGAAUUCAAGUUUGCGUAUUAAUAAAUGAAAAGAAAAAUUUUACGAGUUUUAAA